UUUUUGUUGAAACAAAUUGUGUGACAUCUAUCCGUUUGAUUUGAAAGUUGUGACCGCCUCGUACAACCAUUUGGAAUUUGUGGUUUCCGACCUCUUGUGAGGGAUAAGUGUAGCGGGGUUUUCCUUACCUUUAGGUUUAUUGACUAAACCAAAAGUAAACAUACAAUUCGAGUCGCCACCACACUUUUAUUUGUCCAAAGGAAAGGCUA
RNAcentral lists this long non-coding RNA (209 nucleotides) under Lathyrus oleraceus (garden pea). RNAcentral describes it as "Pisum sativum (pea) long non-coding RNA (PSAT_LNC031006)". The record is from RNAcentral. Lineage: Eukaryota; Viridiplantae; Streptophyta; Magnoliopsida; Fabales; Fabaceae.